RNAcentral lists this ribosomal RNA (253 nucleotides) under uncultured bacterium. RNAcentral describes it as "partial 16S ribosomal RNA". It matches the Rfam family "Bacterial small subunit ribosomal RNA", at positions 524 to 776 of the family's 1533-position model. The record is from RNAcentral.
UACGUAGGUGGCAAGCGUUGUCCGGAUUUACUGGGCGUAAAGAGCGCGCAGGCGGUCGUUCAAGUCGCGUGUGAAAGCCCCCGGCUCAACUGGGGAGGGUCACGCGAUACUGAUCGACUCGAAGGCAGGAGAGGGUAGUGGAAUUCCCGGUGUAGUGGUGAAAUGCGUAGAUAUCGGGAGGAACACCAGUGGCGAAGGCGGUUGCCUGGAGCUUUGCUGACGCUGAGGCGCGAAAGCAUGGGGAGCGAACAGG